This 61-nucleotide microRNA precursor is filed under the name Pristionchus pacificus. Its description in RNAcentral is "mir-8364 microRNA precursor family". It matches the Rfam family "mir-8364 microRNA precursor family". Lineage: Eukaryota; Metazoa; Nematoda; Chromadorea; Rhabditida; Neodiplogasteridae. The record is from Rfam by way of RNAcentral.
UCCUCAUUUCCCACACUCUCUCACCGGUCAGAGACGCGUGAGAGUGUGGGAAAUGAAGAGA